GUGUCAGCAGCCGCGGUAAUACGGAGGGUGCGAGCGUUGUCCGGAAUCAUUGGGCGUAAAGGGCGCGUAGGUGGCCUGGUCAGUCCGUGGUGAAAGCGCGGGGCUCAACCCUGCGUCGGCCAUGGAUACUGCUAUGGCUUGAGCACUGUAGAGGCAGGCGGAAUUCCGGGUGUAGCGGUGGAAUGCGUAGAGAUCCGGAAGAACACCGGUGGCGAAGGCGGCCUGCUGGGCAGUGGCUGACACUGAGGCGCGACAGCGUGGGGAGCAAACAGGAUUAGAAACCCUGGUAGUCC
Molecule: ribosomal RNA, 293 nt
Filed under: uncultured bacterium
Lineage: Bacteria
Description: partial 16S ribosomal RNA
Rfam family: Bacterial small subunit ribosomal RNA
Source: RNAcentral